UCCUCUGUAGUUCAGUCGGUAGAACGGCGGACUGUUAAUCCGUAUGUCACUGGUUCGAGUCCAGUCAGAG
This 70-nucleotide transfer RNA is filed under the name Escherichia coli. Its description in RNAcentral is "tRNA-Asn". It matches the Rfam family "tRNA". From Rfam's summary of the family: Transfer RNA (tRNA) molecules are approximately 80 nucleotides in length. Their secondary structure includes four short double-helical elements and three loops (D, anti-codon, and T loops). The record is from RNAcentral. Lineage: Bacteria; Pseudomonadati; Pseudomonadota; Gammaproteobacteria; Enterobacterales; Enterobacteriaceae. RNAcentral also lists the same sequence under 6 other names.